AUCUUGCACAAUGGGCGAAAGCCUGAUGCAGCAACGCCGCGUGCGGGAAGAAGGCCCUAGGGUUGUAAACCGCUUUCAGCAGGGAAGAAAAUGACGGUACCUGCAGAAGAAGGUGCGGCCAACUACGUGCCAGCAGCCGCGGUGACACGUAGGCACCAAGCGUUAUCCGGAUUUAUUGGGCGUAAAGAGCUCGUAGGCGGUUCGGUAAGUCGGGUGUGAAAACUCUGGGCUCAACCCAGAGAUUGCACCCGAUACUGCUGUGACUAGAGUGCAGUAGGGGAGUGGGGAAUUCAUGGUGUAGCGGUGAAAUGCGCAGAUAUCAUGAGGAACACCAGUGGCGAAGGCGCCACUCUGGGCUGUAACUGACGCUGAGGAGCGAAAGCGUGGGUAGCAAACAGG
RNAcentral lists this ribosomal RNA (399 nucleotides) under uncultured bacterium. RNAcentral's name for it is "bacterial SSU rRNA". It matches the Rfam family "Bacterial small subunit ribosomal RNA", at positions 361 to 776 of the family's 1533-position model. The record is from RNAcentral.